RNAcentral lists this transfer RNA (77 nucleotides) under Candidatus Faecaligallichristensenella faecipullorum. RNAcentral describes it as "tRNA-Asp". It matches the Rfam family "tRNA". Rfam says of the family: Transfer RNA (tRNA) molecules are approximately 80 nucleotides in length. Their secondary structure includes four short double-helical elements and three loops (D, anti-codon, and T loops). Lineage: Bacteria; Bacillati; Bacillota; Clostridia. The record is from RNAcentral.
GGCCUGGUAGCUCAGCUGGUUAGAGCGCCAGCCUGUCACGCUGGAGGUCGAGGGUUCGAGCCCCUUCCAGGUCGCCA